UUCAUUUUGUUAUUUAUAAAGUCGAUAGGUGUUAAUAAGUUCAUGUUAAAAUUAAUUAAAUUUUUUUAAGAAAUUAUUUUAAUGUAAUGUACUUUUUUAUCAAAUUCAAAAAGAAAAAUACUAUACUACUAAUAAUAAGUUUUUUCUAUAAAUAACAUUUCAACAUUUUUGGAUUAUUAUAUAUUUAUUAGACUUUAUUGUAAAUUGGUUGUUAAUUUAUUGGUGGUUGAUUUUUUUUAAUUUUUUGGGCACACCGAAAAUGCUGACCCUUUGGCCAAUGGGCUUUGACUUAGAACGAAUUGUCUGUCAUGUGACUAUACAGUUCAGGUUUCUUGGAUCAUGUGACUGUAUUGUUGGGAUUCCAAAGCAUGAGCUUGCCAAGAUCUCAUCUGGUGUUUGAUGGAUAUGAUGAUGAGAUAUUGAGAUCAAGUAUUUUAGGGCAUCAGAGAAUUUUUUCUUUUAACCAUAAUUUCUAACGGUGUCGAAUGUGGAUGUUUAAAAAAAUUUAGGACUUAGAAAUAUUUUUAGAUAUAAAAAUGUUCAAAAUAUGGAAUAGAAUCAAAAUUUACAUUUUAAUGCUCUAGAGGAAAGUAAGAACUUUUAAGCCAAAUAUGAGUCAUUCCAAAACCGUAAAUGUUAAUUUUUGGUUAUCAAUUUUACAUUAAAAUCUUAAAUUUUAAAAUUUUUUGCUCAUGUAAACAACUUUUUAUUUAAUUGAGGUUUAUAAUUGUGAGGUCUUUAAAAUUUAUAUUAAGAAAUUUUAAAUCCUUUAUGAGAUAUAAAUAAACACUUGAAUUUAGUUUUACAAAAUAAUUUUUUGAACAAAAUCAUGGAAAUCUUUAUAUCAAAAUGAACAAUAAUUUAAAAAUUCAGUGCAAGUAUUUAUAAUAAUGAAUAUUUAAAUUAGGUUUACAUAGUUUAUAGAGAUUCUCACAAUAUUAAACUUUUUUUAAUAUAUGUAAAAAAAUCAAAAUUUGAUUUAUAAUCAUUAAAAUUAAAUAUUUAAUACUUUACCAAUCAACCAAAUCACAUGAUUGAUAUAUCCACAAUAUUAAACUUUAGACGGGUAAAUAAAAUACAUUACCAAAAUGAGAAAAGAAGAGGUAAAAGCCAAGACUAUUGUUUCUCUCCUGCCUUUAUUUAUUUGUUUUUCUUAAAAAGAAUGAAAAGGAGAAUACAACAGUUACAGGAUUCAAGCACGAAUUAGGGGCGUUUAGUUUCCUAAUCCCAUUUUCGAACAAUUAUUUUGAACUUGUGCCGACGAAAAACAGAUAACAGCAGUGAAAAAAAAUAAAAAAGACAGAUACCGCAGUCAAGCCGUACCUAAAGAAAGAGAAAGAGUUUAUUAUAGCCGUCAAGAACGGUUUUAGGUUGUCUCCUCUGACAUAUCCAACAUUUUUAUUUUGGCAUAUAGAUCAGAUAAGGUGGUUGUCCUUGGUAGAUUGACUACGCAAAAUAGCUAGCAAUUGCAUCGUUGGA
RNAcentral lists this long non-coding RNA (1479 nucleotides) under Durio zibethinus. RNAcentral's name for it is "long non-coding RNA (DZIB_LNC002321)". The record is from RNAcentral. Lineage: Eukaryota; Viridiplantae; Streptophyta; Magnoliopsida; Malvales; Malvaceae.